UUAUCAUCAACAGUAUAUAUUAUCAUCAUAAAUUUUUACAUUAUUGCAAACGUAUGAAGAUCUCAAACACUACAUUAAUCAAUAUAUAAAUAACAAAACAAAAACAAAAAAGAUUCAAGGCAUACACUUACAAUGAACUUUGAAAAAGAAAUAUGUAUCAAGUACUACAUUAACUAAUAAAGCAAUCUCUUAAAGGUCGACUACUGGAAAUGAAUUAUACAAUAUCUGAUGUACUCUAUCAUGAAUAACACUUUAAAACAUAUUAUAGUACUAAAGGUAGUAUACGGUAGAAACCCAAUUUGUUAUCCCCUUGGGCCUUAGCACCCUUCACAUCAAUCUCCUAAUUUUGCAACUGAUCCAUUUUCGGCAGCUUGACCACCCUAUUAAUCUAAGCAACAUGUGAGAUUUCCUUGUUCAGAUCAUCAAAAACUUCUGAAGGUUUUUGGGUCUUAAGUUCCCUAAUUGUUGUUUUGCCUUUCCAUACCUGCAAUUGAGACCAACAAAGAUGCAUUAUUUAUUAUAGUCUGCUCCUAAUUUAAAAAAAAAAAAAAUUAUUUAUGCCAGCUGCAGUUAGAUAAUAUUAGAUGAGUACUAUAAAGUUGGAGGGGUUUAAAUAUGUGAAAGCGGGAUAUUGAAAGAGAGAAAUCUAAUUUUCUCAAGGAUCAUGCUCACCCUUUAGAAUGAUGACUUAUUCACCUAGCAAUCUUGAAAAAAUCAGCACUCGUAACGGAUAAAAAUUAUUGAAGUACUUGACAAACAAACUUUUAAAAUAAAUAGAAACAUGGCUACUAGAGAAAUACUUAUAAAUUAAUUCUACAAUUUCAUUUAUUAGAAUGGAAUUCAGAAGUAUGAGUAAAAAGUUUUCACAUGAACUAACUUACUACUGUUGCCGUAUAUGAGAUAAGGUGCAGAUCCAGAUGAAAAUAUUCAGGUGCUCCGGUAGAUUUUAGAUCAUACUAACUAGUUUAACUACCAGUUUUCUUUUCCACCUUCACUCAUCGCUACUGUUUGCUUUACUCAUCAUGCUCCCAUAGAAAACUAACCAGCAGCAACCUGCAAACACCAUAUUAAAAUUAUUUCGAUAUGUAUAUAUGAGAGACAAUAAGCAGAAUCUUUCCAAAAAAAAUACUGGAAGAGAUUUAUAUUAUUAGAAAGUAUGAGAAGUUUUCUAGAAUAUCACCCUUCACUCUGCAUUGAUAUUAAGAACAAAUAAGAAUAACCUGCAAGAUCACUAAUUAGAAUGAAUUCUAAAUACAUUGUCAUCUACCUACUAUUUUCUUUUUCAUCCUAUUUCAUAUCUUAUUUACUUUAUUUUAUAUUUGUGGGGUCUAAUAAUUUUAAUAAGCUUGAGUAGCCUUCAAUCUACUAAGGAAAAGAACAACUCUUUCUACCUCUUGAUCCUGCACAUUCAUACUGAAGGUCAAAUGCUUAUUAUUGCUUUCUCUACACUCAGCAACUGAAGCAUCCUUGAGUGUGGUAAGAUCGUCGAUAUCUUGGAAUAAAUCUUACAAAACUACAAUCUACCAUCAAUGGAUCUUUCUGCUUCUAGAUUCUGUUAAUAGACUAUAAUAUGAGUCAACUGAUUCUCUUAAAAACACAUGAAAUAUGUUAUGAUAAGCAUAACUUCUUACCAUAAUAAAGACCAACUAUCAUAAACUAAGAGAACUAAGAAACAUAGAAGGUAGGACUUCGAAGAACGGAUCAUUUUUGUCCAACAACCGAUACAAUAAAAAACUGAUUAAUACAAAGAAAAUGAGAGAAAAGACUCGGAGAAGAUGCAAGUUGUAUAAGUAAAGCAACCUAUCAAUCACCGGUGAAGCAUUCACAAAUAGAAUGUAUAUGACAAGCAAAAUAUCAAACACUAGUUAAGUUGAGCAUCAUGUUCUUUUUUUCAUAAAGUAAAAGGAGUUCAUUAAAAGAAGUCAAGAGGAUGCAAACAAAAUUACAAUUGAGAAAAGAAUAUGUUUGCUCAUGGACAAAAGCUAAUCUAAAACUAAGGAGCAGUAAUGCAUUUGAUGUUAAAUUUUGCUCCUUUUAUUAUUUCAAUUAAGCGGUACAUUUUUAUCCAUUGCUUUCAUAGAAGAGUAUUAGCCCGUUGCACUAGCUGGACACUACAUAUUAACAAGUUAUUU
RNAcentral lists this long non-coding RNA (2132 nucleotides) under Nicotiana tabacum (common tobacco). Its description in RNAcentral is "long non-coding RNA (NTAB_LNC007371)". The record is from RNAcentral. Lineage: Eukaryota; Viridiplantae; Streptophyta; Magnoliopsida; Solanales; Solanaceae.